Molecule: unclassified non-coding RNA, 1814 nt
Filed under: Hevea brasiliensis (rubber tree)
Lineage: Eukaryota; Viridiplantae; Streptophyta; Magnoliopsida; Malpighiales; Euphorbiaceae
Source: RNAcentral
AUAUAUAUAUAUAUAUAUAAUUCCACUGCAUGUAAAUGGUAAUGAUUUUAUACUGCAAGUUAUUUACUCGAGUACUUUGUCUGUGUUUUUAGUACAUAUAUUGCAGAAGAAGAAGUUGUGAAAUUGAUUUAGGUUAAAAUGAAGGAAAAUUGGGGGGGUGGGGGGUGAAAGAAACAGGAAAGAGACUUGAUUGAAUGGCGUAUGGCUGCUGAAAGAGCCUGCAUGCCAAUGCCAUCCCACUAUAGAAAUUUGGACGAUUCUCCAAUAGCUGGGUCAGCACUCGGCACUUCAGAGAUUCUUUUCUUGUUUUUGGAAACAAAAGCUUGCUGCAACUUUUAACCUCAAAAGCAAGAUCAAUAUUUGCGAAUUGCAAACAUAUAUCAAAUAUGUAUAUAUAAAAUGCACAAAAUAAUUUCAAAUAGGGGCUCUUGUGUACUUGAAUUUUGUGUUUUGUCAUUGGAUGGUAAUAGACGAGGCAAUCCUGAAAGUGGGAUAGCCAUUAAGGGUCUAAUAUUAGCAAAUUACACUCACUUCAUUCUCUCUAUUACUGUGUACAGAUCUGCCAUGCUUCCCUGUCUGACCUAUUUUAUUUUCAUUUUUAAUUUUUGUGGACCUGCCCAUCAUCAGCAUAUAUUGUUACAUAUCCUUGACUAAACAAUAGCCCAUGAGCUUUCACUUCAUCACUUGUAUUAAGGAAAGAUUCCCUAAACAAAGCUACAUUAUUUUUAUCUAAUGGUACUUUUCUUCCUCCAACUUUAAUCAUCAUAUCAUCCAUUUAAACACUACAGUCUGGUCUGGUCAUUCACCUUCUUUCAUCACGGGACCUCUCUAAACUUCAAAUUAUUGUGGUUAGAAAAGAAAAGAAAAGUGCAUUUGCUCAUUUUAGCCCAAGUAUUAACUUGACCUGCAAUGAUGAGGUCUGCAAAAGCUAUUUGCCACAGUCUAUCAUUGUUGAAUUCUUUAGAAAAACCCAAAAAGAAAAGCUAAAGAAAAUUAGUUGAAAUGGUUCACAAUAGGAGUGCUUGUGAUGCAACUAACUUUCUAAUUUCUUUGGCUGCCUAAUAUCAUUAAUUGCUUAUACCCAUUUCAUUACAACCUGCCAAGGAAAGAUCAUAGAGCAGUAACAGAAAAUUGGCACUAUAUAUAAUACAGAUCUACUGAAAAUUAAUGAAAUAGCUUAUUAGACUCAAAUGAAUGUGAAAUUAUGUGCUUUUAAACAGUUUGUAAACAGCGAAAGUAACGUAAUUAAUCUUAUAAUGAAGAGGACAGAUGGAUAAAUGGGGUUAAUUAUCUUCAAAAAAGAAAUGCAGAGGAAAGAGAAUUAGCACAUCCCAUUGUAAAGGGAAUUUAUAUAGAUUGCAAUUUCUUGUUUAAUCAUAACUUUCUUGAAAUCAUAAGAAAAUGCUGAAAGUUACUGCCAUGACACACACUGAACCAAACUUCAAAUCCAUGGGAUGACAAAGAUAAACUUCUUGUAGAGUUUAUGAAAGAAAAGAAAAAUUAAGGAAAAUUUGGAACUUCGACAAACCAUUAAUAAUUCUAGCUCAAAUAUUAUAAUUAUUAUUUGAAAUUAUCUUAACUAGAAUGCUAUCAUGCAGGGUUAAUUUUGAGAAAGAUCAAAAGGAAGAAAAGAAAGAAGAAUAAUUGUGCUGGUUGGACAGUUUAGAUCAUCAGCUAGACAGCUAGAAAAUGUCAAUUAUGACAUAACAUGAUAGCUCUAUAUAUUGUAUAUAUAUCCUCAACUACCACUGUGGAGAUCCCACCAAAAUAAAAAGGACUAUAGCACAGAAUCACGGAGAGAGAGAGAGAGAGAG